GCAGACACAUUCCAGCCAAUCAGCAGCAGACCCUCCCUCCCAGACCCUCCCACCUCCUGGACAGCUCACAUUGUGAAGCUGCAUUCUUAGUGAGCUGUCCAGGAGGUGGGAGGGUCUGGGAGGGAGGGUCUGCUGCUGAUUGGCUGGAAUGUGUCUG
Pelobates cultripes (western spadefoot toad) is the source of this 157-nucleotide non-coding RNA. Lineage: Eukaryota; Metazoa; Chordata; Amphibia; Anura; Pelobatidae. The record is from the annotation of a GenBank genome assembly.